This is a non-coding RNA of Balearica regulorum gibbericeps (East African grey crowned-crane), 734 nucleotides long. The record is from RefSeq and is a predicted model, not a curated record. Lineage: Eukaryota; Metazoa; Chordata; Aves; Gruiformes; Gruidae.
GGCGGAUCCGUCGAGCGGUAGCUUGUGCUGUCUCACACAAUUCUACUUGUCCAGCCUACCAAGAGGCCAGAAGGCAGAACAUAUGCUGAUUAUGAAUCAGUGAAUGAGUGCAUGGAAGGAGUCUGUAAAAUGUAUGAAGAGCAUCUGAAGAGAAUGAAUCCCAACAGUCCAUCCAUUACAUAUGAUAUCAGCCAAUUGUUUGACUUCAUUGAUGACUUGGCAGACCUCAGCUGUCUUGUUUACCGUGCUGAUACUCAGACAUACCAACCGUACAAUAAAGACUGGAUAAAGGAGAAGAUCUAUGUCCUCCUUCGCAGGCAGGCCCAGCAAGCAAGCAAAUAAUGGGGGCACCAUCAUUACAUGGGUUUGGGGGAGGGUUUGGACAACAGGUGUGUACAGAGUGUGGUAGUGAACGUUUUGUAUUAUAGUCAUCCUGUUGCCAUCUUGUUAAACUCUUUAGCCAGGACUGAAUGUAUUGUUAGAGAUACAAGGAUUUUGUUGGAUUUGACUUUUUUUCAGUGUAAAUGGAGAAGAAAGUGCAACAUCUUCAGCUGAGUUUUCAUUUGUCUUUUUUCCUCUGGUUAGCUAAUGGUCCUACCUUGUUUGAACCCCUGGGGCUGUUCACAUUGUACUUCGCCACAUUCACUGUAUGUGCCCUUCUGUGGGGUUUCCAACAUUUAGUUAUGUCCUUGAGACGGUCUUAAUGGGGAAUAAAAAACUACCCUUUAGUUAAA